This 497-nucleotide ribosomal RNA is filed under the name uncultured bacterium. RNAcentral describes it as "partial 16S ribosomal RNA". It matches the Rfam family "Bacterial small subunit ribosomal RNA", at positions 28 to 507 of the family's 1533-position model. The record is from RNAcentral.
GAUGAACGCUGGCGGCGUGCCUAAUACAUGCAAGUCGAGCGAACAGACGAGGAGCUUGCUCCUCCGACGUUAGCGGCGGACGGGUGAGUAACACGUGGAUAACCUACCUAUAAUACUGGGAUAACUUCGGGAAACCGGAGAUAAUACCGGAUAAUAUAUUGAACCGCAUGGUUCAAUAGUGAAAGACGGUUUUGCUGUCACUUAUAGAUGGAUCCGCGCCGCAUUAGCUAGUUGGUAAGGUAACGGCUUACCAAGGCGACGAUGCGUAGCCGACCUGAGAGGGUGAUCGGCCACACUGGAACUGAGACACGGUCCAGACUCCUACGGGAGGCAGCAGUGGGGAAUCUUCCGCAAUGGGCGAAAGCCUGACGGAGCAACGCCGCGUGAGUGAUGAAGGUCUUCGGAUCGUAAAACUCUGUUAUUAGGGAAGAACAAAUGUGUAAGUAACUAUGCACGUCUUGACGGUACCUAAUCAGAAAGCCACGGCUAACUACGUG